UCAAGCUGGGACAUCUGGGACAACAACUAUGGAGCAAAAUGCUAAAAAGAAGAGGUGCAUUCAUCCUAACUGGGACCACUUUUAUCCCAGAGCAGCUGGGGAAGUGCUGUCUUCAUUUGGCCAGCAAUAAUUAAUGUCGGGAAUAAUUAACCGGUCUACUCUUGGACUUGAAGGCAUCAGAUAGCAGGCAGAAAACCUGGCUUUAAAAGAGGAGCUCAGACUGGGAGCAGCAAUGUUCCAGGAGGAUUUCUGAGUCAAGCAGGAGAGCGACUGGCUUUGUGAAGUGUGAAUUUCAAAGAUCCUUAAAACCCUUGGCUGCACAGUUGGAGCAGUCAGGACCGAAGAACCAGCACCCCAGAGGACCUGCAUUUCCCCGGCACUUGCACUUUGAGUCAUGGCUGAGCCGCACAAGUUUCUUCAGAGUGAGAAAAGAAAUCUCCAUGCUCAGGCAGGCAUUGAAACAGCUAAUUUAUGUCAACACCAAGUCCGGGCUGCUUUAGAAACUGUCUCAUGUCUAUGCCUGAGCCUUUAAUCCCAUCUGAGAUAUCAGCCUGUGCUCAGAAAUAAUGUAACAACAAGAGUGACAGCAGCAUUAUGACCAGUCUGCCACGGGCUUUUCUCUGACCCUGCUGCUCAUAUCCUUUUACAUUUCUUCUGUCAAUUAGGUUAAAUAUGAGAAAAAAGGCAGGAGAAGGGCUCUUGUCAACUGGGGUACUAGCACAGCGCCUCGGGAACCAAGGGGGGGCUGUGGCCCACUUCUCCAAACAGGUAGAAAAUGGUGCCCAGGGCUGGCCAGGAUGCUUGAUCCAGGAAGCCCAAAAACUCACCCUUGGGAGACACAUUGUAGUGUAUGUACCCCAUGCCGUAGCAGCUGUACAUGAACAAUAAGGGGGACAUUGGCUAUCUGGUAACUGUAUGCUUAAAUAUCAAGCAACAGGCUGAUGUUACCCUGAAAACAACUUCUGUUGUUAACCCUGCCAUGUUUUUUUCCUCCACCUUAAUUGACCAUGAACCUGAACAAAACAGACAAUUGAAGAAGUCUAUUCCAGCCAGCCUGACCUGAAAGACGUGCACCUGGAAAAUCCAGAUUGGGAGCUUUUUACAUAUGGGAACAGCUUUAUGAGAAAUGGCCAAAGGAUGACAGGCUAUGCAGUGACCACGCAGGAUAAGGUGAUCGGGGCAAAGGCCUCGCCAGCAGAUGUGUCAUCACAGAAAGCCCAACUGAUUGCACUGAUGAGAGCCCAAGACCAGAGCGAAGGAAAAAAGGUAAACAUAUGGACAGACUCUAAAUAUGCAUUUAGUGUUGUCCAUGCCCAUGGAGCCAUCUGGAAAGAGGGAAGACUUCUGAACGCUCAAGGUAAUCAAAUCAAACAUGCUGAACAAAUACCUGCCCUCUUAGAGAGCAUUAAAAAACCUGCAGAAGUAGCUAUUAUGCAUUGUAGAGGUCACCAAGAAGGGGAAACCACCCCAGAAUUAGGAAAUUGUUUCGCUGAUAAAGCAGCAAGAGGGAAUGCAGAAAAAUAUAUUCGCAGUAAUUCCACAAAAAGAGAUUGACUUAUUGGGGUUCACCCCAAAAUAUGACCAAGCACACCACAAACUAAUCAAGUUUCUUAAAGCUGAGAUCACAAAAAGUGGGUGGGCUGUUACACCAGCAAAUUAGGUUGUAGUCCCACCCCUGAUACUUCGACAGCUAGCUCAGAGAGAACAUGAAAACACUCAUAUUGGGGCUGAAAACCUUCUGAAACAUCUAAAAAAGGUAGUAAUAGGAAAGGGAAUUACUGACAGUAGUGAGCAAAUGUGAAAUCUGCUGUAAAAACAACCCUGAUGUGAAGAAAAGAGUUACAUUAGAAGUAACAAAAGUGGGGAUCUUCCUGGAGAUUACUAGCAGAUAGAUUUUGUGGAGUUGCCACGCAAGGAGGGAGAGCAGUACAUACUGGUGUUAGCUGACACCUCCAGUGGAUGGCCGGAGGCUUACUCCUGUCGCACUAAUACAGCCAAGGAAGUGGUAAAAGUUUUGCUCAACCAUAUAAUUCCAAGGUUCAAGGUUCCCUUGGGGAUGUCAUCAGAUAGGGGAUCACACUUGGUUGCAACAGUGGCUAAAGAAGUUAGCCAGAUUUUGAGAAUUACUUGGGAUCUGCAUACACCUUAUAGACCUCAAGCGAGUGGUAAAGUUGAAUGUAUGAACAGGACUCUCAAAACACAAAUUAGCAAAAUUUGUCAGGAAACAUCUAUGACAUGGGUUCAGGCCUUGCCUAUAGCUUUUCUGAGAAUCCACAUUGUAAUGGUCUUGAUUUAAUGAAACCAGGCAGAAACACCAAUUAAUGUGGAGGUUUUAGUAUUUAUUCUUUUUCUGUGGGAAGGAGAGAUUAGGAGAAAAAAAACCAAAACAGGCUUAAGCUUAAAAAUGAACAAAAAUAGUUUUAUUAACACACACUAAAGGAAUGAAAAAAGUUGAGAAAAAGAAAAACUAAAACAGAAUGACACUUUAAAACACCCUUCUCUCCUCUUACAAACUAUUAACUUUCUUAUUAAACAACAUAGAAAGACACAAGUUGAGAUUUUCAGUCAGUUUCACUAUUUUGACAUAAUCACUCAUUACUUUAGGAGAAGAGUCUUUCUAAGGUCUUUUUUAUGAAGAUGUUUGCCACAAGACAAAAUAGUCCAGUGCUUCCAAUAUCACACAUCUGCUGAUGCCCAGGGUUUUUGCAGACUGUGAUAUUCUAUCAUCAAGACCUCUCAGCGUAUCUGGGGUACUAUUUACAAAUACUUCUUCUAGUCUAAAAUCAUCUUUGUCUCAAAGGCUGAGACCUCCUUUUAACCCAGGAGCGGGGGCUUCGAAGUUCUCAGUUAAAUCUCAAUCACAUCAGUCCUCAGUUUUGAUUAGAACUAGCAUUCUCUGAAACAACACUAAGAUGGUACAAAGAACAGCCCAUUUCUCCAUAGUUUACCUUAGAGAAUUCCAGUUAAAAAUGUCCACUUCUUCAAUCCUAUUCCAAUAUUAUUGGUUCUUUCACUUCUAACCCACUGACUUCAUUUGGUGUCUGUUCUAUGUACUCUCUGUUUUCUUUCUUCUUUCUCUCAAGGAAGAGUUGUGCUUUAAAAGUUCCAUGUUGCUAGGAAAGGGUUAAAUCUGCCCAGGCCUGCAAGGGCCACGUGCAUGCACCGGGCUGCAUGGGGCUGAAGAAAAUGCAAAGCUGUGCUGAUGGAGGAAGCUGGUGGAUGUCCUUUCUUCCACCCCUCGGUCUCAUCCAGGGCAGUCCGGUUCGGAGCUACCACAGAGCUGUAAAAGGGCUCAACCCGGGCCGCUCCCGUGUGGGCAGCAGCUCUCGGAGCUCCGGCUGGGCCCAGCCCAGAGGGCAGCAGGGCCCGACCCGGGCCCGGCCCGGCCGCCCACGAUGGUACCUCAUGGCUGAUUCCGAGAGAGAGACCCAUCUGCUGCAGAUUAGUUUUAAAUGCCCUUUCCAAAGUCACAUUGACAUCCUUACUGGUCAGCCUAGCUGCCAAUAUCUUGGCUAGCUCUCUGAUACGUCACUGUCCUCUCCCCAAAAACCACUCCAUGGUCCUGGCAGGGAAAAACAUUUCGCAUUUCUCUAUAACCAGAAAACAAAACUGUGCCAACCCAUGAUACACAUACAACCAAGGCAGAGACAUAACAUCAGUCCCUAUAAAAUACUGUAUGGCAGACCAUAUCAGAUCCCACAUGUUCCAUGUGAAAUUCACAUGAAGGGGAAACUUGGUUUACAGAGAUAUCUAAUGGCUCUAGAGAUAUCUAAUGCACUUUGCAGAAGCUCCAGACUUACAUUGUGCUAUCCAGACCCAUAGGAUUGGACACACCUGCACAUCCCUUCCAGCCUGGAGACUGGGUCUAUGUUAAGUGGUGGGACAGUGAUCCUCUACAAGCCAGGUGAAGAGGACCGUUCAAAGUUCUGCUGACCACCCUCACUGCAGUCAAAAUUGCUGACAAAAGACCCUGGAUUCACUACUCCAGAGUUAAGAAAGCUUCUGCUCCUGAGACAACUGUAAAAACGGAGGCUGAUGCAGAAAAAAACAUGCUUUAAAUGAUUCCUCUUCUGUGCCUAAAGAACUGUUAACAAUCAUCAUUAUUCUUCUUUGCAUGAUACCCAACUGUACAAAACAUUAUUACUGUUAGAUGUUUAUUACAGUUUAUUUUUAAUUAUUGCUAGAUAUUAAUAUAUUAUUAGAUAUUUACUGUUGUUAGAUAUUUACUGUUAUUAGAUAUUUAUCUAUUUUAGAUGUUUAUUAUUGUUAUUUAUUAUUGUAAGACAUUUAUUUGUUGUAGAAUACCUAUUAUUAGUAAAUAUUUAAAAUAGAGACUCGAUAAGGAAAAGACCCCCUCUAAAGGGCGGAAACAAAGCUUUAAGUUUUAGCUUUUGUGUUUUUCACAUUCUGUGUUGCCUAGGGGUGUAGUUCUGAGCCUCAUUUAGUGCUAGUAAGCUCUCUUCACAGAGUAGGUAGACAAAACAAAUCCUUUUCCUGCUGGAGACCAAGGACAAUGAGUACAGCUUUCAGGCCCAAAAGCCCAAACAACGGUAGGCUGAAGAGAGAAAACAAGAAGGAUGAGACCUCACAACCUGGAGCUGUAAGUGGACAGUUAAACCCCAAUAUGCAAAUGGACCAAAACUUAUAAACGUGUAAGACCUCAUGACCGGUUGUCAAUUUUGAUGACUGCUCUAAGUUCACCUUGGGUGUAGUCCUGGCCAGAUUCUUGUAUUGCCCAAGGUGUACCC
This is a long non-coding RNA of Hirundo rustica (Barn swallow), 4748 nucleotides long. RefSeq lists it as uncharacterized. The record is from RefSeq and is a predicted model, not a curated record. The transcript has 4 exons. Lineage: Eukaryota; Metazoa; Chordata; Aves; Passeriformes; Hirundinidae.